RNAcentral lists this transfer RNA (74 nucleotides) under Tetragenococcus halophilus. RNAcentral's name for it is "tRNA-Arg". It matches the Rfam family "tRNA". From Rfam's summary of the family: Transfer RNA (tRNA) molecules are approximately 80 nucleotides in length. Their secondary structure includes four short double-helical elements and three loops (D, anti-codon, and T loops). Further hydrogen bonds mediate the characteristic L-shaped molecular structure. tRNAs have two regions of fundamental functional importance: the anti-codon, which is responsible for specific mRNA codon recognition, and the 3' end, to which the tRNAs corresponding amino acid is attached (by aminoacyl-tRNA synthetases). tRNAs cope with the degeneracy of the genetic code in two manners: having more than one tRNA (with a specific anti-codon) for a particular amino acid; and 'wobble' base-pairing, i.e. permitting non-standard base-pairing at the 3rd anti-codon position. Lineage: Bacteria; Bacillati; Bacillota; Bacilli; Lactobacillales; Enterococcaceae. The record is from RNAcentral.
GCGCCCAUAGCUCAACUGGAUAGAGUGUCUGACUACGGAUCAGAAGGUUGAGGGUUCAAAUCCUUCUGGGCGGU